CUGGAGGGCCCAAGUGUAUGGAUAGGAAAACCUACAUCAAACCUAGUGUAUGUCCUAAAUGGUGGUCUAGGAGUGGGCUGGAGUGGUUGAGAGGUCUGAGAAGGCUGAGCAUGGUGGGUUGGCGGGCUCUAUUGUGAAGAAGAUCUAGCUAGUGAGCUCUAUCGACCACGACCUUCGGUGGCAGCUGCUGUGAUGGCUCCAAGUGCGAUACUCUGCAGCUACACCACUA
RNAcentral lists this long non-coding RNA (229 nucleotides) under Elaeis guineensis (African oil palm). Its description in RNAcentral is "long non-coding RNA (EGUI_LNC032569)". Lineage: Eukaryota; Viridiplantae; Streptophyta; Magnoliopsida; Arecales; Arecaceae. The record is from RNAcentral.